CCUACGGGAGGCAGCAGUGAGGAAUAUUGCUCAAUGGCCGGAAGGCUGAACCAGCCAUGCCGCGUGAAGGUCAGUGCUCUACUGGCGUUAAACUUCUUUUGUGCGGGAGCAAUAAUGGUCAUGUGUGGCCAGACGAGAGUACCGUACGAAUAAGCAUCGGCUAACUCAGUGCCAGCAGCCGCGGUAAUAAGGGGGAUGCAAGCGUUAUCCGGAUUUAUUGGGUUUAAUGGGUGCGUAGGCGGUUUGAUAAGUUAGAGGUGAAAUACCGGUGCUCAACACCGGAACUGCAUCUAAUACUGUUGAACUAGAGAGUAGUAGCGGUAGGCGGAAUGUAUGGUGUAGCGGUGAAAUGCGUAGAGAUCAGACAGAACACCAAUUGCGAAGGCGGCUUACCAAGAUAUAUCUGACGUUGAGGCACGAAAGCGUGGGUAGCAAACAGGAUUAGAUACCCGUGUAGUC
Molecule: ribosomal RNA, 459 nt
Filed under: uncultured bacterium
Lineage: Bacteria
Description: partial 16S ribosomal RNA
Rfam family: Bacterial small subunit ribosomal RNA
Source: RNAcentral